GUAGGUGGCAAGCGUUGUCCGGGAAUUAUUGGGGCGUAAAGCGCGCGCAGGCGGUUCUUUAAGUCUGAUGUGAAAGCCCACGGGCUCAACCGUGGAGGGUCAUUGGAAACUGGAGAACUUGAGUACAGAAGAGGAAAGCGGAAUUCCACGUGUAGCGGUGAGAUGCGUAGAGAUGUGGAGGAACACCAGCGGCGAAGGCGGCUUUCUGGUCUGUAACUGACGCUGAGGCGCGAAAGCGUGGGGAGCAAACAGGAUUAGAUACCCUGGUAGUCCACGCCGUAAACGAUGAGUGCUAAGUGUUAGGGGGUUUCCGCCCCUUAGUGCUGCAGCUAACGCAUUAAGCACUCCGCCUGGGGAGUACGGCCGCAAAGGCUG
RNAcentral lists this ribosomal RNA (375 nucleotides) under uncultured organism. RNAcentral's name for it is "partial 16S ribosomal RNA". It matches the Rfam family "Bacterial small subunit ribosomal RNA", at positions 527 to 896 of the family's 1533-position model. The record is from RNAcentral.